GCCGCAGUAGCUCAGUUGGGAGAGCGCAAGACUGAAGAUCUUGAGGUCGCUGGUUCAAGUCCGGCCUGCGGCA
This 73-nucleotide transfer RNA is filed under the name Thermoplasmata archaeon. Its description in RNAcentral is "tRNA-Phe". It matches the Rfam family "tRNA". From Rfam's summary of the family: Transfer RNA (tRNA) molecules are approximately 80 nucleotides in length. Their secondary structure includes four short double-helical elements and three loops (D, anti-codon, and T loops). Lineage: Archaea; Methanobacteriati; Thermoplasmatota; Thermoplasmata. The record is from RNAcentral. RNAcentral also lists the same sequence under 1 other name.